This 221-nucleotide long non-coding RNA is filed under the name Mytilus galloprovincialis (Mediterranean mussel). The record is from RNAcentral. Lineage: Eukaryota; Metazoa; Mollusca; Bivalvia; Mytilida; Mytilidae.
UAUGGAAACUGGUCGUUACAUAAAACAACGAAGGGAGGAUAGAAUUUGUAAAUGUUGUACUAUGCAAUGUAUAGAGAACGAAUAUCAUUUUAUUAUGGUUUGUCCAGCAUAUAGACAGUAUAGACUUAAAUACUUCUCAAAACAUUAUCAUACAUGGCCAAAUAUCAACAAACUGUAUUCACUUCUACAAGUUCAAACAAAAACUGUUAUUUACAAUUUGA